RNAcentral lists this non-coding RNA (45 nucleotides) under Schistosoma margrebowiei. The record is from RNAcentral. Lineage: Eukaryota; Metazoa; Platyhelminthes; Trematoda; Strigeidida; Schistosomatidae.
AUUCAGUUGACGAGUUCAAAAUAGGACGAAACACGCGUCCUAGAU